Molecule: ribosomal RNA, 450 nt
Filed under: uncultured bacterium
Lineage: Bacteria
Description: bacterial SSU rRNA
Rfam family: Bacterial small subunit ribosomal RNA
Source: RNAcentral
CUCUGUGACUCCUACGGGAGGCAGCAGUGGGGAAUAUUGCACAAUGGGGCGCAAGCCUGAUGCAGCAACGCCGCGUGAGCGAUGAAGGCCUUCGGGUCGUAAAGCUCUGUCCUCAAGGAAGAAUAAAUGACGGUACUUGAGGAGGAAGCCCCGGCUAACUACGUGCCAGCAGCCGCGGUAAUACGUAGGGGGCAAGCGUUAUCCGGAAUCACUGGGCGUAAAGGGUGCGUAGGCGGUUUUUCAAGUCAGAAGUGAAAGGCUAUGGCUCAACCAUAGUAAGCUUUUGAAACUGUUAAACUUGAGUGCAGGAGAGGAAAGUGGAAUUCCUAGUGUAGAGGUGAAAUUCGUAGAUAUUAGGAGGAACACCAGUGGCGAAGGCGACUUUCUGGACUGUAACUGACGCUGAGGCACGAAAGCGUGGGGAGCGAACAGGAUUAGAUACCCUGGUAG